GGUGGAGCAUGUGGUUUUAUUCGAUGCAACGCGAAGAACCUUACCUGGCCUUGACAUCCAGAGAACUUAGCAGAGAUGCUUUGGUGCCUUCGGGAACUCUGAGACAGGUGCUGCAUGGCUGUCGUCAGCUCGUGUUGUGAAAUGUUGGGUUAAGUCCCGCAACGAGCGCAACCCUUAUCCUUUGUUGCCAGCGGUUCGGCCGGGAACUCAAAGGAGACUGCCGGUGAUAAACCGGAGGAAGGUGGGGAUGACGUCAAGUCAUCAUGGCCCUUACGGCCAGGGCUACACACGUGCUACAAUGGCGCAUACAAAGAGAAGCGACCUCGCGAGAGCAAGCGGACCUCAUAAAGUGCGUCGUAGUCCGGAUUGGAGUCUGCAACUCGACUCCAUGAAGUCGGAAUCGCUAGUAAUCGUAGAUCAGAAUGCUACGGUGAAUACGUUCCCGGGCCUUGUACACACCGCCCGUCACACCAUGGGAGUGGGUUGCAAAAGAAGUAGGUAGCUUAACCUCCGGGAGGGCGCUUACCACUUUGUGAUUCAUGACUGGGGUGAAGUCGUAACAAGGUAACCAAGGGCGAAUUCCAG
Molecule: ribosomal RNA, 585 nt
Filed under: uncultured Pantoea sp.
Lineage: Bacteria; Pseudomonadati; Pseudomonadota; Gammaproteobacteria; Enterobacterales; Erwiniaceae
Description: bacterial SSU rRNA
Rfam family: Bacterial small subunit ribosomal RNA
Source: RNAcentral